Oncorhynchus keta (chum salmon) is the source of this 1876-nucleotide long non-coding RNA. RefSeq lists it as uncharacterized. Lineage: Eukaryota; Metazoa; Chordata; Actinopteri; Salmoniformes; Salmonidae. The transcript is spliced from 2 exons. The record is from RefSeq and is a predicted model, not a curated record.
UUUCAUAGCCAGUGCUUUGGGACAGACAUUUUCCAACUACCUUGCGCUCCAGUCUACUUUGAGCCAUAAAGGCAACAUUUGUGAAGCCAGAAUACAAAUUAAACGAUGAGAAAGCCUGGAAGGAGGAGAGAUGAUUAGAAACGAUUCGGUUGGUCGUUUUAUGUGUGGAUUAAUUGUCGGAGUAGAGGUCCUUGUGCAUUUCAGGGGGACAAAAGAAAUAUAUGCACGAUGGCGCACGCGCGCAGCCGGUUUGAGUUCCGUGUUCAGAUUGAGCGUCGGGGAUCUUAACAACCACCCCCUACUGAAGAUGCCAUCCUCCAAUUACCCAUAUGUGUAAUGUAAUGGAACUAAGUCAUGAUCAAGGGCUAGGUACGUCGGUGAUCACUGUUAUUUUGUUCUCAGCCAACACUACUUCAAUCCCCCUACCCUACUGUUUUUAAUUUAAUGAGUUUAUAAAGGGAAUUGUGAAGGUAACCGAUGGCUUAAUUAUAGCCAGUAACUACUGUACCAUACCUGGACUAAGAUGUCGCUGAUGUAGCCUACUGUUCACUGUCCCAAGAUGCUGGGAGUGUGCUGCUUCCCGGCCCUUGGAGGAUCCUGGCGUGGACUGAGAAGUAGGCUAUGCAUAUCAUUAUUUCUAAUAUUUUAGAGAACAAGGUUGAUAUGGUCAUUUAUACAGUCAACUUAUUGGCAAGGUCACACUUUCAAUAACCAAAUAUUUACCCCACCAAAAUCAAGAAAUUGGUUGUAGCCUUCCUGCUAUAACAAGGCAAACGCAUCUGAUGAUUAAAUAAUAUUUCAUGAUAUUUAUCACUUCUCUCAAACUCAUAUCACUAGGGGCAGGGAUGCUCUGAAGGAGAAUCUGGUCUCCUUCAAACCAGCCUGCCAGUCUCUGAAGCGGGUCAAGGUUCUGUUGCUGGGUCAGGAAAAUCCAACUUUAUUAACUCUAUCAGAUCUGUGAUGUAUGGGCAAAUUGUUCUGCUGCCCAAUAUUGGCAUUUCUGCUGAGGGCUUUACCAAGAGGGUAGGCCUAUUAGUAUAUCUGUCAUCCAAGUCCCAUUUCUUCAUCUAGUUUUGUUAUCAUGUUAUGACGACCUAUUUUCCACCUAAUGACAGCUUGAGUAGCCUACAAACCAUUUCAAGCUUUUAUUGAUAAGGAAAAUCUACCUUUUAUACAAGACCAAUCCAUUUAUAUUUUAGAUGGUGAUCUACUGUACAUCUGAUUUGACCCUUCCUGCUCCCCUUCAUGCAGCUCAAAUGCUAUGAAAUCUGGUCAGAGAAAGGGGAGAAGCCCACAGCUCUGAUCCUGUGUGAUGUGUUGGCUCUGGGGGACGGUACAUACAUACAUACAUACAUACAUACAUACAUACAUACAUACAUACAUACAUGCAUGCAUGCAUGCAUGCAUGCAUACAUACAGUGGGGCAAAAAAGUAUUUAGUCAGCCACCAAUUGUGCAUGUUCUCCCACUUAAAAAGAUGAGAGAGGCCUGUAAUUUUCAUCAUAGGUACACUUCAACUAUGACAGACGAAGUGACAGUUGAAGUGUACCUAUGAUGAAAAUUACAGGCCUCUCAUCUUUUUAAGUGGGAGAACUUGCACAAUUGGUGUCUGACUAAAUACUUUUUUGCCCCACUGUAUAUGGCCCAAUACACAUGUUAUAUUCACACUCCAGACAUCGUUAUCCUGGAAAUGUGUAUUUUCAUUCAUUUUUGUUUAUCCGUCUGCCUUAUGUGCAAGUGAUCAUAGCAAUAGAAUGAAUAGAACAGGCUUGGAACCUCUGACCCUGGCAAUUGAAUGUGGAUAGGAUUUGAGGAACUAAUUUGUAUUUCCUGUGUUAAUAACAUGAACAACAUAUUAAAUUGUUGUGUAUUCUACA